UUCAACUGCUGUCCUUGAAACGCCUGGAGGGGGAAGCUAACUGUGGAAAUCAUCCGAGCCUGGAAUCUGAAAGGAGAUCAUCUUGGCCCAACUGACAGCUAUGUUAAACUGAGGUUCGGUUCCAUCAAUCAUCAGACUCGCAUGAUCGAAUCAAGUUAUCCCCAAUGGAAUGCUUAUUUUGAUUUUGGACAGGUGGACACACACAGUGAUGUGUAUGUUGAAUUAUGGGACGAGGAUCUGAUCUAUGAUGAUCUCCUGGGAUCAUGUUCCCGGCAUCCAACUCAGGGGACACGUAUAU
Long non-coding RNA from Oreochromis aureus, 298 nucleotides. RefSeq lists it as uncharacterized. The transcript has 3 exons. Lineage: Eukaryota; Metazoa; Chordata; Actinopteri; Cichliformes; Cichlidae. The record is from RefSeq and is a predicted model, not a curated record.